CGUUAGAAUUUUCAUCCCCUUCUAUUAUUAAAAACUAGCGUGACUAAUAAAAUAACCACACAAUUGCACAUAGCACGUCAUGUGUACCUCAUGUAGGCAUAUAGAGAAUAAUCUUUAACAAUGAAAAUGGAUAAAUUUUUUAACG
Gossypium hirsutum (cotton) is the source of this 145-nucleotide non-coding RNA. NCBI's taxonomy places the organism in Eukaryota, Viridiplantae, Streptophyta, Magnoliopsida, Malvales, Malvaceae. The record is from Rfam.